GUCCUCCGACUCUGAUGGGUGGUGAUGUUGGGGCUUCGGCCAUCGAAUUGACUUCUACGAUGAUGGGGGAUGUGAAUCCACCUUCAGUCAUUUAAUCUAUGGUCCCCCCUCUGGAGGUUGCGACGGAAGCCUUACUGGAGGAGAUUCUGGUGAGGGAGAUCUUGGUGGAGGAGAUUCUGGUGAGAGAGACCUCGAUGGAGGAGGCUCUAAUGGAGGGUACAUGGGUGAAGGAGAUUGUCGAUCAUCUGGGAGAGGCUCUAGUGGCCAUAAUAGAAGUCGAGAAUCCUUCGGAGCAAGUAGUGCCC
Molecule: long non-coding RNA, 305 nt
Filed under: Elaeis guineensis (African oil palm)
Lineage: Eukaryota; Viridiplantae; Streptophyta; Magnoliopsida; Arecales; Arecaceae
Description: long non-coding RNA (EGUI_LNC063254)
Source: RNAcentral